GAUGAACGCUGGCGGUGUGCCUAAUACAUGCAAGUCGAGCGAACAGACGAGGAGCUUACUCCUCUGACGUUAGCGGCGGACGGGUGAGUAACACGUGGAUAACCUACCUAUAAGACUGGGAUAACUUCGGGAAACCGGAGCUAAUACCGGAUAACAUGUUGAACCGCGUGGUUCAACAGUGAAAGACGGUCUUGCUGUCACUUAUAGAUGGAUCCGCGUCGCAUUAGCUAGUUGGUAAGGUAACGGCUUACCAAGGCAACGAUGCGUAGCCGACCUGAGAGGGUGAUCGGCAACACUGGAACUGAGACACGGUCCAGACUCCUACGGGAGGCAGCAGUAGGGAAUAUUCCGCAAUGGGCGAAAGCCUGACGGAGCAACGCCGCGUGAGUGAAGAAGGUCUUCGGAUCGUAAAACUCUGUUAUUAGGGAAGAACAAAUGUGUAAGUAAAUAUGCACGUAUUGACGGUACCUAAUCAGAAAGCCACGGCUAACUACGUG
Molecule: ribosomal RNA, 497 nt
Filed under: uncultured bacterium
Lineage: Bacteria
Description: partial 16S ribosomal RNA
Rfam family: Bacterial small subunit ribosomal RNA
Source: RNAcentral